GUAGGUGAACCUGCUGCUGGAUUAUUAC
RNAcentral lists this ribosomal RNA (28 nucleotides) under Meloidogyne graminis. RNAcentral's name for it is "partial 18S ribosomal RNA". The record is from RNAcentral. Lineage: Eukaryota; Metazoa; Nematoda; Chromadorea; Rhabditida; Meloidogynidae.